CGUAUUUCAAAUACAAAAUACUAUUUUGUAAUUUGUAUUUUAUUGAGAUUAUGAAAAUGCCUUCGUAUUUUGUAUCAAAAUACUUCAGUGUUGUGUAUUUUUGUAUUUUCAAAAUACUGUAAAAUACUUUCUGUGAAACACUGUGAUAACAUCUAUCUAUCUAUAAACGAAUGUCUCUGUCUGUGGCACCUUCGCAUAGUUAAGCCCCUGUGACGCCACGCUCGGCCACUAGGGAAUGUUGGCGCUGUUUCACACUUGCUAUGGGCAUGCACAUUGCACUCACAACACAAAACGUUCGGUGCUGCAGAUUGAGUUGGGUAGCUACGUUGGCUACUUUGUCCGGACCUGUCAUACAUUGUUUCAAAGCAAGAUUCAGGUUCAGAACGUGAUUGGAGGGACAGUUAGGAGUUGCAGGGACCUGUGAGGAGAAAUGAGUGAGAAUGAGUGGGAGAAUGGGAGACAAUGAGGAGAGCAGCUCUGACCAGCCCCUGGAAAUACCAGAGGAGAAUCCUACCCCAAGCACUAGUACUGCUCAGUGGACUGUGAGAUCAGCGAUAUUAGAUGGGACUUAUUUUGAAAUUGUGAAACAAACAGAAUCUGGGCAAGUUCAGGCUGAGUGCAAAUUAUGUACAAAGAAGAAAACCAUCAUAUCUGGUUCUGUUCAAGCCACUACAAAUUUCAAAACUCACCUGAAGAGGUUGCAUGCUGAGGUACUUCCAGAGUUUGAGCAACACAAGCAGGGUUUCAGCAGCGGAAAGAAAAGGACCAUCGGUACCACACUCAAGCAGACAAAGUUGUUUACAGAGUGUUCUCCCAGAAAUGCCCAGAUCUCUCAGAAAAAGGUAGAUGACUUAAUCACUGCCUAUGUUGUUAAAGGAAUGCAUCCUCUUUCAACUGUUGAACAGCCGGAAUUCAUUGACCUUGUUGAGGGCUUGAACCCAGAAGCAACUGUUAUCUCUAGAAGAACUCUAGGAAGAAGGAUUGACAAUGACUUUACAACAAAAGUGGAUGAUUUGAAGGAAGUUUUGAAAGGUGUUAAGCACUUAUGCACCACAGCUGAUAUUUGGUCCACCAAAGUUUCAAGCUUUUUUGGUGUGACAGCACACUGGAUUCAGCCAGAUACACUUGGCCGCCUGUCUACAGCACUAGCGUGCCGCCAUUUCCCUAGUCCACACACAUACGAUAGAAUUGCCGAGACACUGGAUGAAAUCCACGCCGAAUAUGGGCUGUCCCAUGAACGUAUUGUUGCUACAGUAACAGACAAUGCGUCGAAUUUCGUGAAAGCGUUCAAAGAAUUUAAUAUUUCAGCAGUGUGUGUGGACGAGGAGAGUCAAAACGAUGAAGAAGAUCUCUCAUUUAUCGCAAUAGACUCUUCAGACUCUGAGGAAAAUGAGAAUGGCAUUAUUUUACCUACUCAUUUGCGAUGCGCGUGCCAUACUUUAAGUCUGGUUGCGACAAUUGAUGCAAAAAAGGCCAUGAAAGAAAAUUCUAGCUUGUCGCGUCUUAACAACUCCACAAUGGGAAAAUGUUCUGCACUGUGGAAUGCAGCAGGAAGGCCUAAAAGCGCUGAAGUGGUGUCUGCAGUACUGAAAUUCAGGUUGAUUACACCUUGUGCGACGCGUUGGAACUCUCUUUAUGACAGCCUUCAUCAGCUCUGCAGCAUCCACGAGACCCUCCCUGAUCUCAUGAAACAGUUAAACCUGCCAUUGUAUAAGGAUGCAGAGAUGGAGUACAUUGAAGAGUAUACCAAAGUCCUGAAACCCCUUGCGCAGGCAAUAGAUCGAUUGCAGAGCCAGUCACCGUGCUAUUACGCAGAAUUAAUUCCAACCCUAUUUGCAAUAGAGGGUAAGCUUGAAGCUCUGCAUGCCAACAACCUCCGUUACUGUUCGCACCUUCUGCAUGCCAUAGUGGAUGGUUUCCAUCGGAGAUUUGGUGCCUUUCUAGAUCUUCGACCAGAAGUAAACGAAGCGAUCCUGGCGAGUGUGACCCAUCCGUACUUUAAGAUGCGCUGGCUCCCUCCACACCUGGCAGGUAAAAAAAAAAGAAUCCAAGAACUGAUGCUUCAGGCUGCCACUGAUCUUGGGCUUGUGACUGAGAGUGAGGCUUCAAAUGCAACUUCUGCGGUAGAGGAAGAGGAUGACUUCUUCAUCUUCACAGAAGACGUGGAGGUUUUCCAGAAGUCUACUCACAGCAAGGCAGAGCUAGAGUCACUUCAUUUUUUGGAGGACCAAAGGAAGGACUUGCCAUCCUUGGACCAGUAUCCCCUCAUCAAAAACCUUUUUGUGAGGUUCAAUACCAUCAUUCCAUCCUCUGCUCCAGUAGAGCGUUUAUUUUCCUUUGCUGGACUGAUCAACAGGCCCCAUAGGCGGCGUCUGAAUGCAAAUCUCUUUGAGAAGCUAGUUGUGCUUAAAGGCAUUAACUGAGGAGACACCACUAGGUUAUACACACUGUUUUGCACAUGCUUAGAUCACAACACUUGAGUUUGCCAUUUUCCUUUCUUUUUCCUGUUUUACAGUAUUAAUGUGACAACCUGUUUUUUUAAAUUAUUAUUAUUUUUACUUUUUUGUUGUGCAUUGUGAUGAAACCCACCAAGUGUGGUAGUGGUGGUGUUUAUGCUACCUACUGUAGCUUACAUUUCCAAAUAAAUCAUCAAUUUGGAUUGUUUGUCUUUGAGUUAUUGUCACUGCUUCAUAGUGGG
Long non-coding RNA from Eleginops maclovinus (Patagonian blennie), 2698 nucleotides. RefSeq lists it as uncharacterized. The transcript has 3 exons. The record is from RefSeq and is a predicted model, not a curated record. NCBI's taxonomy places the organism in Eukaryota, Metazoa, Chordata, Actinopteri, Perciformes, Eleginopidae.